Molecule: ribosomal RNA, 208 nt
Filed under: uncultured bacterium
Lineage: Bacteria
Description: partial 16S ribosomal RNA
Rfam family: Bacterial small subunit ribosomal RNA
Source: RNAcentral
ACAACGCAGGCGGACGUGUCAAGUCAGAUGUGAAACCAGGGCUUAACUCCUGGCCUGCAUUUGAAACUGAUAGUCUUGAGUACCGGAGAGGAUGGCGGAAUUCCUGGUGUAGCGGUGAAAUGCGUAGAUAUCAGGAAGAACACCGGUGGCGAAGGCGGCCAUCUGGACGGAUACUGACGCUCAGGUGCGAAGGCUAGGGGAGCAAACA